UACGUAGGUGGCAAGCGUUGUCCGGAUUUAUUGGGUUUAAAGGGUGCGUAGGCGGUCUUAUAAGUCAGUGGUGAAAUACGGCAGCUCAACUGUCGAGGUGCCAUUGAUACUGUAGGACUUGAGUACAGACGAGGUAGGCGGAAUUGACGGUGUAGCGGUGAAAUGCUUAGAUAUCGUCAAGAACACCGAUAGCGAAGGCAGCUUACUAGGCUGUAACUGACGCCGAGGCACGAAAGUGUGGGGAUCAAACAGG
This 253-nucleotide ribosomal RNA is filed under the name uncultured bacterium. RNAcentral describes it as "partial 16S ribosomal RNA". It matches the Rfam family "Bacterial small subunit ribosomal RNA", at positions 524 to 776 of the family's 1533-position model. The record is from RNAcentral.